CAGGGUCAGCAUCCAUGAAAGCACGACAUGCUUGCAUGGGAGUGCUUUUAUGGAUGAAUGACCCGCCUCAAUAUGAGCAUAAAAGUGGAACGUAAGUUCCGCGAUAUGCGAAUGUUGAGCAGGAUCGUGAAAGUGCCGGGCACGGAACGAUCCGUAU
Molecule: small RNA, 157 nt
Filed under: pig gut metagenome
Description: Clostridiales-1 RNA
Rfam family: Clostridiales-1 RNA
Source: RNAcentral